AUGAACGCUAGCUACAGGCUUAACACGUGCAAGUCGAGGGGCAUCAGGAAGAAAGCUUGCUUUCUUUGCUGGCGACCGGCGCACGGGUGAGUAACACGUAUCCAACCUGCCCUUUACUCGGGGAUAGCCUUUCGAAAGAAAGAUUAAUACCCGAUGGCAUAAUGAUUCCGCAUGGUUUCAUUAUUAAAGGAUUCCGGUAAAGGAUGGGGAUGCGUUCCAUUAGGUUGUUGGUGAGGUAACGGCUCACCAAGCCUUCGAUGGAUAGGGGUUCUGAGAGGAAGGUCCCCCACAUUGGAACUGAGACACGGUCCAAACUCCUACGGGAGGCAGCAGUGAGGAAUAUUGGUCAAUGGGCGCUAGCCUGAACCAGCCAAGUAGCGUGAAGGAUGAAGGCUCUAUGGGUCGUAAACUUCUUUUAUAUAAGAAUAAAGUGCAGUAUGUAUACUGUUUUGUAUGUAUUAUAUGAAUAAGGAUCGGCUAACUCCGUGCCAGCAGCCGCGGUAAUACGGAGGAUCCGAGCGUUAUCCGGAUUUAUUGGGUUUAAAGGGAGCGUAGGUGGACUGGUAAGUCAGUUGUGAAAGUUUGCGGCUCAACCGUAAAAUUGCAGUUGAUACUGUCAGUCUUGAGUACAGUAGAGGUGGGCGGAAUUCGUGGUGUAGCGGUGAAAUGCUUAGAUAUCACGAAGAACUCCGAUUGCGAAGGCAGCUCACUGGACUGCAACUGACACUGAUGCUCGAAAGUGUGGGUAUCAAACAGGAUUAGAUACCCUGGUAGUCCACACAGUAAACGAUGAAUACUCGCUGUUUGCGAUAUACAGUAAGCGGCCAAGCGAAAGCAUUAAGUAUUCCACCUGGGGAGUACGCCGGCAACGGUGAAACUCAAAGGAAUUGACGGGGGCCCGCGCAAGCGGAGGAACAUGUGGUUUAAUUCGAUGAUACGCGAGGAACCUUACCCGGGCUUAAAUUGCAGUGGAAUGAUGUGGAAACAUGUCAGUGAGCAAUCACCGCUGUGAAGGUGCUGCAUGGUUGUCGUCAGCUCGUGCCGUGAGGUGUCGGCUUAAGUGCCAUAACGAGCGCAACCCUUAUCUUUAGUUACUAACAGGUUAUGCUGAGGACUCUAGAGAGACUGCCGUCGUAAGAUGUGAGGAAGGUGGGGAUGACGUCAAAUCAGCACGGCCCUUACGUCCGGGGCUACACACGUGUUACAAUGGGGGGUACAGAAGGCAGCUAGCGGGUGACCGUAUGCUAAUCCCAAAAGCCUCUCUCAGUUCGGAUCGAAGUCUGCAACCCGACUUCGUGAAGCUGGAUUCGCUAGUAAUCGCGCAUCAGCCACGGCGCGGUGAAUACGUUCCCGGGCCUUGUACACACCGCCCGUCAAGCCAUGGGAGCCGGGGGUACCUGAAGUACGUAACCGCAAGGAUCGUCCUAGGGUAAAACUGG
This 1439-nucleotide ribosomal RNA is filed under the name uncultured organism. Its description in RNAcentral is "16S ribosomal RNA". It matches the Rfam family "Bacterial small subunit ribosomal RNA". The record is from RNAcentral.